UACGGAGGAUGCGAGCGUUAUCCGGAUUUAUUGGGUUUAAAGGGUGCGUAGGCGGCUUUUUAAGUCAGUGGUGAAAUCCUGCAGCUUAACUGCAGAACUGCCGUUGAUACUGAUAGUCUUGAGUUUGGUUAAGGUAGGCGGAAUGUGUAAUGUAGCGGUGAAAUGCUUAGAUAUUACACAGAACACCAAUUGCGUAGGCAGCUUACUGAGCCGACACUGACGCUGAGGCACGAAAGCCAGGGGAGCAAACGGGAUUAGAUA
RNAcentral lists this ribosomal RNA (261 nucleotides) under uncultured prokaryote. Its description in RNAcentral is "partial 16S ribosomal RNA". It matches the Rfam family "Bacterial small subunit ribosomal RNA", at positions 524 to 784 of the family's 1533-position model. The record is from RNAcentral.